GUUUCCUGAAUAUUCUACAUAGUACUGAUGGCUUGAAAACUAAAGCCCUACCUCCAAGAAUGAAUUUAGGAAGAGUAGAAAUUGAAGUAAGAGUUGUAGAAACAAUAUUAUUUGAAUACCCCAAAUUCAAUCCAGGGCAUUCAAGAAAAAUUCUGAGAGGUAUGACCAAAUAGUGAUUAUAAAUAAAUAAUUAGAUAUGUGAGUCAAAGUAGUUUGAUAUAUUUGAAGAAAUAAUCCUUUCAGAGGGGAGAUUGCAUCUAUGAAAGGGAGGAAUCUAAAAUGAUAGAACUGGCAUGGUCUCUACAGAGAAUAUGCAUUAGCUGCUGGGUGCCAGCCAUUAAGAUCAUCUAAUUAAUUCCUUCUCUGACUGUAUGGUCAUUAAGUACUUUUUGGAUUACAUUUGGUUUCACAUUUGGAAAUGCCUGUAGGAAGAAAAAGUUCUGAUCAUUAAAUAAAUGAAGCUGUCUACUUGGAGGUUGUAUCUUCCCAUGAGUGAUUUUUAUGCAUAUGACUCUAAGGACUUGGAAACCAGCUGAGAUUCAGAUCCUCCCUUUGUGUAGACAAUCUUCUCUGACCUUUUAAGACUGAAAAUUGAGCCCCACGUUGGUCAACAACUCCAAGUAUUGCUCUGGGACCUCUUUGGGAGACCAACUAUUCUAUCUCAGGCGACAACUAAUUGGAUUGGCCAUAUUUUUUAUUGAAAUUGUUAAUGGUUACACCAGUGACAAGUUCCUUGUAGAAAACUAAGUAAAGGCAUACAUUUAUUGAUAUUGGUAAAUAAUCUGAAGAUGAGCACAAGACCCAAACUGGACCAAUCAGAACCCUUUCAUGGGAGUUCUGAAGAUAAUUGGUAUCCCACUGAUGUCCAUGCCAUAAGUGGAAGUCUGGAGUAGUCAACAGCGGAGGCUUUGCUCUCUGAACAGAGCCAGUCUCAAUAGGAGAAACAUCUGUGGAGCCACUGUAAGCAGGGUGGACAGCCAAUGCCCUGCCUGCACUCCACGUGUUCCUGAAGCCCAGUUAGACUUGUUCCUACACUUCAUUUGAUUAUGUGGAACAAAUUCCAAAAAUGACCCAAACUGAUAGAGUGUUGUUGAAUUGGAAUGUGCACUGCUAUGGUAACAGAAGGGUACUAAACGGCAAGGGAUUGUGAGGAAUGGUGAAGCAUGCACAGGGACUAAUGAAUAUCAACAUUCCUCAAUAUUUACCCAUUUGUAAACAAACCAAACCUUGGCACUUCCUGCUAAUUGAUGCC
RNAcentral lists this long non-coding RNA (1252 nucleotides) under Marmota monax (woodchuck). The record is from RNAcentral. Lineage: Eukaryota; Metazoa; Chordata; Mammalia; Rodentia; Sciuridae.